This 301-nucleotide ribosomal RNA is filed under the name uncultured bacterium. RNAcentral's name for it is "partial 16S ribosomal RNA". It matches the Rfam family "Bacterial small subunit ribosomal RNA", at positions 509 to 807 of the family's 1533-position model. The record is from RNAcentral.
CAGCAGCCGCGGGAAUACGAAGGGGGCUAGCGUUGCUCGGAAUCACUGGGCGUAAAGGGUGCGUAGGCGGGUCUUUAAGUCAGGGGUGAAAUCCUGGAGCUCAACUCCAGAACUGCCUUUGAUACUGAAGAUCUUGAGUUCGGGAGAGGUGAGUGGAACUGCGAGUGUAGAGGUGAAAUUCGUAGAUAUUCGCAAGAACACCAGCGGCGAAGGCGGCUCACUGGCCCGAUACUGACGCUGAGGCACGAAAGCGUGGGGAGCAAACAGGAUUAGAUACCCGCGUAGUCCCUGUCUCUUAUAC